CAAUCGAAUAGAGAUCAGGGUGCCUUAGCCCCCGGAUGGGAAGGCUCAAAGGCGAAGCCGGUGCAAGUCCGGUGCUGUCCCGCAACUGUAAGUGCCAGUUCCCAGUGAUCAGUGUUCAGUAAUCAGUCACUGAACGGCACAAGUCAGGCCGCCCGCCCUGGUCGGUUCACCACA
This 174-nucleotide non-coding RNA is filed under the name Chloroflexota bacterium. Lineage: Bacteria; Bacillati; Chloroflexota. The record is from RNAcentral.